CUAUGCGUACAAGGUGCCCGUAUAUUUUCACCUUGGCCCGUUUAUUUUUAGCUUGCCCUCGGGAGAUCGCGGGGGACGGGUGAGUAUUGUCUGGGAAACUGCCUGAUGGAGGGGGAUAACUACUGGAAACGGUAGCUAAUACCGCAUAACGUCGCAAGACCAAGGUGGGGGACCUUCGGGCCUCAUGCCAUCAGAUGUGCCCAGAUGGGAUUAGCUAGUAGGUGGGGUAACGGCUCACCUAGGCGACGAUCCCUAGCUGGUCUGAGAGGAUGACCAGCCACACUGGAACUGAGACACGGUCCAAACUCCUACGGGAGGCAGCAGUGGGGAAUAUUGCACAAUGGGCGCAAGCCUGAUGCAGCCAUGCCGCGUGUGUGAAGAAGGCCUUCGGGUUGUAAAGCACUUUCAGCGGGGAGGAAGGCGGUGAGGUUAAUAACCUCAUCGAUUGACGUUACCCGCAAAAAAAGCACCGGCUAACUCCGUGCCAGCAGCCGCGGUAAUACGGAGGGUGCAAGCGUUAAUCGGAAUUACUGGGCGUAAAGCGCACGCAGGCGGUCUGUCAAGUCGGAUGUGAAAUCCCCGGGCUCAACCUGGGAACUGCAUUCGAAACUGGCAGGCUAGAGUCUUGUAGAGGGGGGUAGAAUUCCAGGUGUAGCGGUGAAAUGCGUAAAGAUCUGGAGGAAUACCGGUG
This 691-nucleotide ribosomal RNA is filed under the name Klebsiella sp. HPC 599. Its description in RNAcentral is "bacterial SSU rRNA". It matches the Rfam family "Bacterial small subunit ribosomal RNA", at positions 49 to 714 of the family's 1533-position model. Lineage: Bacteria; Pseudomonadati; Pseudomonadota; Gammaproteobacteria; Enterobacterales; Enterobacteriaceae. The record is from RNAcentral.